UUGGAAGUAAAAAUCGUAACAAGGUCUCCGUUGGUGAACCAGCGGAGGGAUCAUUACCGAGUUUACAACUCCCAAACCCAAUGUGAACGUUACCAAACUGUUGCCUCGGCGGGGUCACGCCCCGGGUGCGUCGCAGCCCCGGAACCAGGCGCCCGCCGGAGGAACCAACCAAACUCUUUCUGUAGUCCCCUCGCGGACGUAUUUCUUUACAGCUCUGAGCAAAAAUUCAAAAUGAAUCAAAACUUUCAACAACGGAUCUCUUGGUUCUGGCAUCGAUGAAGAACGCAGCGAAAUGCGAUAAGUAAUGUGAAUUGCAGAAUUCAGUGAAUCAUCGAAUCUUUGAACGCACAUUGCGCCCGCCAGUAUUCUGGCGGGCAUGCCUGUCCGAGCGUCAUUUCAACCCUCGAACCCCUCCGGGGGAUCGGCGUUGGGGAUCGGGACCCCUCACACGGGUGCCGGCCCCUAAAUACAGUGGCGGUCUCGCCGCAGCCUCUCCUGCGCAGUAGUUUGCACAACUCGCACCGGGAGCGCGGCGCGUCCACGUCCGUAAAACACCCAACUUUCUGAAAUGUUGACCUCGGAUCAGGUAGGAAUACCCGCUGAACUUAAGCAUAUCAAUAAGNCGGAGGAAA
RNAcentral lists this ribosomal RNA (632 nucleotides) under Trichoderma asperellum. RNAcentral describes it as "eukaryotic LSU rRNA". The stretch from base 241 to 394 matches the Rfam family "5.8S ribosomal RNA". Lineage: Eukaryota; Fungi; Ascomycota; Sordariomycetes; Hypocreales; Hypocreaceae. The record is from RNAcentral.